Molecule: non-coding RNA, 4490 nt
Organism: Lactuca sativa (garden lettuce)
Lineage: Eukaryota; Viridiplantae; Streptophyta; Magnoliopsida; Asterales; Asteraceae
Source: RefSeq, a predicted model, not a curated record
UUUUAAAUUCGAUUGGAUUUUACAACAACGCAGACAUGGUGCUCCAAGCUCCCAUUCGACGUCGUCCGAUUAUCUUCACCAUUUCCUAAACCUCAACAACUACUUUCUUCCCCCGUUACCACCUCCGCCGCAGUCUCAUCCAUUCCUCCGUCCCAAAUUACUCAUUCUAUGAUUCCUCCCAAUUUUGGUUCCCUGCUAUUCUCUGCCCCUUCAACAUUACAAGUUACAUCAAGCUCUAAUAGGUCUUAUUCACUUCCUGUCUCUGUAAGUUAGGGUUUAUAUUUUGCUCGAUAUUUUUGAAUUUGGUAUUAUUAUUAUAUUAUGAUACAAAAUCCGAUGAAUUGAGGUGGGAUAGCUUAUGUAAAAAUUUGGUUGCUACUAUGAACAACAGUUUGCAUUCUCUGAGAUGCUUACUAGAAAAAUGUAGCAAAAACGAGAAUCUAAUCACCCAAAUCCACGCUCAUGCCACAACUCUAGGUCUCUUUCGCACUCAACAACAUUUCGCGUGUAAGCUACUCAACAUAUAUGCCAAGAAGUUAAACAAUCCAACCAAAGCUCAGGGGAUCUUUGAUCAGAUUCAUAACCCAGAUAUAGUUUCAUGGACUUGUCUCAUGUCUCUUUACUUGCAAAACCAACAACCCUUGAAAACGCUCUCUUUAUUUUCUCACAUGAUCGUGUCAACGGGGUUGAACCCAGACGGGCAUUGCAUAGUGGCUGCACUUUCAGCUUGUGGGUCUGCUAAGAAUCUAGUGGUUGGGAAGAUAGUUCAUGGGAUGGUGUUGAGAUAUGAGUUGGGUGGUGAAGAACCCAUUGUUUCCAAUGCUCUGAUUGAUCUCUACUGUCGAAAUGGUCAAAUAGGUUUAGCAAGGAGAGUGUUUGAAUCCAUGGUAGCCAAAGACGUUGCUUCCUGGACGAGUUUGCUAAAUGGCCAUAUCAUAUGUGGUGAUAUUGUUUCUGCUGGCCAAGUGUUCGAUGAAAUGCCUGUGAGAAAUGUCAUCUCCUGGACUGCCAUGAUAGUGGGCUAUGUCCGAAGCAAAAACGUUAUCCAUGGAUUAAAACUGUUUAGGGAGAUGAGAAGUGAUUACAUUCAUCCUACUUCAAUCACAAUAGUAGCUGUUCUUUCCGGUUGUGCAGAUGUUGGUGCCCUUGAUUUUGGUGGAUCAUUACAUGGAUACAUUAACAAGAUAUCAAAUCUUAUCACUGAUGUAUCAGUGAACAAUGCUUUGAUAGAUAUGUAUUGUAAAGGUGGAAACCUCGAAUUGGCCACAAGGGUAUUCAUGAAAAUGCAUAAAAAAGAUGUUUUUUCUUGGACAAGUAUGAUUUCAGGAUUAGCUCUUCAUGGGAAAGGAAGAUCAACCCUUAAAGUGUUUAAUGAUAUGGUAUCAAGUGGAAUGACCCCAAACGAUAUUACCUUUUUAUCAGUUCUAUCAGCUUGUGGUCAUGGAGGACUAAUUAAGGAAGGAAUGUCUCUUUUUACCAAAAUGGUUGAUGAUUAUGGUUUAAAACCAACAAUGAAACACUAUGGUUGUAUGGUGGAUCUUGUUUGUAGGGCAGGGGAUUUAAAAGAAGCACUCAGGUUGAUUGACAUGAUGCCUUUUGAACCAGAUGCUGUUAUCUGGAGAUCUGUUUUGAGUGGUUGUAUGAUGAAAAGAGAUGUAGGGUUAGCUGAAAUUGUAGCAAAGAAAAUAGUGGAAUUAGAACCUUAUGAUGAUGGAGUGUAUAUUCUUGUUUGGAAUUUAUAUCGGUUAACAAACAAGUGGGAAGAUGCAUUAAAGACAAGAAAGGUUAUGAGAAGUCAAAAGAUUAAGAAACAGCCUGGGUGUAGUUGGAUCGAGAUUAAUGGUGUUGUUCAUGAAUUUACUGCAGAGACCACAAUUCAUUAUGAUUUUAUGCAUACUAUUUUACAAGUUUUAGGUGAAUGAAUGGGGUUUUAAGGCAAGAUGUGGCCUAGUUUGACUUGAGAUGCUAAUGGUUUCAGUUGUUAUUGCAAGAUUUCUAACUAAAGUAAUGGCAUCAACCACAACAACCCCGUCUACGGGAUCAACUGCAGCUCAAGAGAAUCUUAAACGCAAAUCAAAUGAUCCUGGAUGGGAAUAUGCAAUGUGUGUGAAUCUAAGAAAUUGGAGCAAGUGAAAUGCAUUUUAUGUAAUAAGUAGAUAGGCAGGGGUAUCAAUAGACUAAAACAACAUAUUGCACAAAUUAAAGGAAAUGUUUCUUCAUGCCCAAAGGCCACAAUAUGACCAAAUAAAAUGUAGAGAUGCUCUUCUUGAUAACCAAAAUAAAAAGAAGGGGAAGGUAGAUGAAAAUGAGUCUUUAUGAGCACAAGUGAAUAUUAGAAGUAGUGAGAAUGAAACCAUUACCAUCGAUGAUGAUUUGAUGGAAGAUUCAUUUGGCUCUAAGAAGGCUAAACGUUCUUUUGGGCCUAUGGAUCGGUUUCCAAACACUAUCAACCCCCAAGAUGUUUCAAACCUGGGAAAAAGCAAACAAGAAAAUAUGUCAAAUGUUAUUCGUAAGGAACACAUGAUUCGUGUGAAAGAAUAUAUUUGUAGAUGGGCCUAUGAAUGUGCCAUUCCUUUUCAUGUCUUUUAAAAUGAUAACUUUAAAAUUAUGUUGGAGGCCGUUGGCCAAUUUGGACGUGGGGCACCACCUCAAACUAGAUAUGAGAUGGGAGAAACAUAUUUAAAGAAAGAAGUAGAAAGAACAAUAAAUUUGUUGACACCAUACAAAGACGAAUGGAAAUCUAAUGGAUGCUUGAUUAUGACGGACGCAUGGUCCGAUAGAAAGAAAAGGAACAUCAUGAACUUAUGUGUUAAUUCAAAGACGAGGACCGUUUUUUUGUCAUCUAAAGAAUCAUCAGAUGAAGCUCACACAAGUGAACACAUGCAUGAGUAUGUUGAAAGUUGCAUCAAAGAAGUUAGCCCUGAGAAUGUGGUUCAAAUUGUGACAGACUCAAAUAAUAUGGGAGUGACCAAGUUGUUAAAGGAAAAAAGACCAACUAUUUUUUGGACAUCUUGUGCAACACAUACCCUCAAUCUUAUGCUUGAAAGUAUUAAUUUUAAUUGUGCUAAGUUUAUAAUUUAGUGUUCUUUAUUAAUUUUUAAUAACAUUAUUAACGUUUUAUUUAUUUUAAAAGGUAUUGGUGGACUACCUAGGUAUAAGAAAAUUCUCGACCAUGCAAAAACACUCAUGGUGUUUAUUUAUGCUCAUCAUAAAACUUUGGCCAUGACGAGACACGUUACCAAGAAAAGAGAUAUUGUGCGACCGGGAGUCACGUGAUUUGCUUCCGUAUUUUUUACUUUGCAAAGUUUGGCCAAUAAAAAUGCCCAACUAAAACAAAUGUUUACAAGCGAUGAAUGGGAAUCAUGUAGACUUAGCAACACCUUUAAAGGGAAAGCCGCAUAUAACAUAGUGAUAAAUGCCACAUUUUGGACUGAUGUAGCAUUAUGUUUAAAGGUUUUUGCCCCUUUGGUCAAAGUUCUUCGCAUGGUUGAUGUGGAUCGAAAGCUAUCAAUGGGUUUUGUAUAUGGUGAGCUUCAAAAUGCAAAACAAGAAAUUAUUAAUGCUUUGGGCAACAAUAAAAAAAACGUAUGAGCCUAUUAUGGAUACCAUUUCGAAAAAAAGAUGAAAAAUAGGCUUGAUACAACCCUACAUUUGACGGCUUACCUUUUAAAUCCAUAUUAUCUUUAUAAGAAUCCGGAGAUCCAAAAUGAUAUUGAUGUGACCGAUGAGAUUGUUGAUUUUGUCGAUACAAUACAUCCAGGAGAUCAUUCUUUGCAAAACCAUAUCGUGAUAGUUGAGUUGCCGGUUUACAUGGGUAAACAAGAAAAAAUAAUCGAGAAAUUACAAUUAAAGGAUGUGAGGUGAACAACGACAAAUUUGAUCCGGCUUAUGGUGCCUUAACUCCACAAUUGAGAAAGAUUGCUACAAGGAUAAUUUCUUUAACAACUAGUUCUUCGGGGUGUGAAAGAAAUUGGAGCACUUUUGAAGGGGUACAUACAAAGAAAAGAAAUAGAUUAGAGACGUCUAAAUUGAACAAUCUUGUUUUUGUUCCAUUUAAUGCAAAUUUGAUGGAAAAUAACAAGAAAAGGAAGACUAAGGAUAUGGAAGUACUUUUAGCAAAAGAUGCAAGUGAGGCUCAAGAAUGUAUUAUUGGAUGAAGGUGAGCCCGAUGAAGCUAUGGGUGACGAGGAGUUUUUACAAAAUCAUAGAAGUUCUAGAUUGAGAGAACUUGAUGAGGAAGAAUUUGUGUCGGAGGAUGAGGAAGAACUAAAUGAAGAUGUUGAAUAUGAAUCGGAUGGAGUUAAUAUCAACGAACAAAUCGAAGCUACAUUGGAAGAGGAAGAUUAAAUGAUUAAUCUAAAUAUAUAAUAUUAAAGAAUGGUGUCUAUUUUUGAAACAAUUUAACAUUUGAAAAUGUAUCUUUUGUUGAUAUUUCACCUAAUUUUGUAAUAAAUUUCAAUCAACUAAUAUUUUAAAUUAUGAUCUUUGAC